Molecule: long non-coding RNA, 3278 nt
Filed under: Sus scrofa (pig)
Lineage: Eukaryota; Metazoa; Chordata; Mammalia; Artiodactyla; Suidae
Description: lncRNA (ENSSSCG00005019578.1)
Source: RNAcentral
AAAAGUUUCCCCCUUCAAGUCCAGGCAGUCAAAUAAUAAGCAUAUCUAGAUUGAGAUUUAUCUAAAUUUAUCUAGACGGAGACUUUCUGAAAUGUAUGUAAAUUUCUAUAAUUGCAUAUCUAUAAUUAUAUAAUUACAUUCAUUUCUACAUAGAUUAAAUGGUGGAAUUUAUACACACACACAUAUAAAAACUUCUGAGUUCUGUUUUCUUUUAAUCUUCCAGAAGGAUGAUCAGUGGACUUUCACCCAUAAGGUAACAUUUCAAAACAGAAAUUGCUUCGCUCGUCACUAGCAUUGUCUGAAACACAGUUACAGUAUAAUUAUUCACCUGAUAGGGCUCUGCAGUCAAAGCACAGACUCAUAGAACAUUCUGUGUCUAAAGAAAUCAUCUUUGGGAGGCUUGGCGACUUCUGGGUCUGAUCGAAUGAAAUCAUCUCCCGGGUAGCCGCAUUCCAUCCCCACAAGGAGAACUCACUUCCAAUGAACAAUUGAAUGGUUACCAAUUUUCCUAAAUGACAAAAGAAGACCUAAGGUUUAAAGGCCAGACUCUCCCAGAGGUGUAAGAACAGGAGAUGCACCUUCUCCAUGUGUGUGGGUACCAAGCUUACUAAUUGCAGGCCCAGUAAUUGCAUCUUCCAGAUGUGUCCAAUCCUGUAUGUAAACUCACUGCCUGGAGCCUUUUGAACAAACAAGCCCUUUUUUUUUCAGGGUGGUGGGGCAGGGGAAGGGAAGUCUAACAGACAGCUGGGUUUCCCCAGCACUCCUGGGCCCUGCUAGUCAUUUGGCUACAGUUUUGCUUCUCUUGAAAAGUCUUCUGCCUGGAUCACCCCAUUCCAGCUCACCCUUGAAUGAGUCAUGAGGCUGCUGUUCACACCCGGCAUCGAACUUUCUGCAAAGCCUGUGAUUCUGUGGUCCUGCUCAGAGACCACCAGACUUAAACUCUGCCCUGAGUAGCUAGGAGUUCCCAGACUUCCGUCUUCCCAAAGACAGCUUCAGUGGCUGAUCAGUCAUCAGUGUUCUUAGUCCCCCCCCCUUUUUUUUUUCUUUUUAGGGCCACACCUGUGGCAUGUGGAAGUUCUGGAGCUGGGAGUGGAGUCAGAGCUACAGCUUCAGACCUACACCACAGCUCAUGGCACCACCAGAUCCUUAACCCACGGAGCGGGGCCAGGGCUUGAACCUGCAUCCUCACGGAUACUAGGUUGGGUUCUUAACCCACUGAGCCACAACAGGGACUCCAGUGUUCUUACUUGUAAAUGCCCCUCUUUGUAAUUCUGACCAGUGAGCUGUAACACAGCAAGAAAUGAAGGAGGAUUUGUUUCACCUCAAGACAUGAUUCCUCAAAUGACCGCAUCCUGUUAGAGGUAAACGUAGCUGUUUAAUAGGUUAAUUACAUGAGAAACAGAGCGAUUAAAAGAAAAUAGGAGACAGCUAGCCAUUCCUUUUAGUAAUUAGUAGACUAGAGCAAAGUUAUUUGUCAUGGCAGUUAUUAAGCUUGAGCUGUUGGUUAAGCAAAGAAAUCCUACCUUGCCUAACCGUUAGCACUAGCUAAAGGUUAGUACUGGCAUGGUUGAGGGGCUCAGGGUAACACAAUAAGUAAUAAGCCACAGAUUUUUCUAAAAUCCGUUCAAUCCUUCUGCACCCGGCAUGCACUCCAUAGCUCCUACUGGCUCCAACACAAACCACUGGAAGAAAAUUCCUUUUUGUUUAGGCUCAUUGCUUCUAAAGUAUGCAGAGCUGUUAACUUGCAGCAGGAGAACAAUGGAUGUUCUCACUGGCUUCUGGAGAUAAGACUCGAAUUCAAAAAGACUCCUGUUCGUAUGAAUGGUAUCUAGGCUGGACUCCUGCCAGCCACAGCGAAUUGAAUGUGUGCAGGUGGAUUUGGCUGGCCUGUCCCAAGUCUUACCUACACCCCCUUGGAGUGUUCGGCCACCCAACCACAGAGCAAUUACAGUGGCUUCAGGAAUGAGGUGAACGAUGAUCAAAGCGAGGCCCUCCUAGUGUUUCAGAGACCAGACCAUCCCAAAGCGUUCCAUCAGGGGCCAGACCACCCUCUCGGCAGCAACGUUAGGAGACCAGAAAAACUGAUGGUGGUUGAAUGAGGUAAACUGGAAGGAGCUCUUCCAACCUUGCAGUGCUGUGAAAUGGCCUCAUUCCAAAUAAUUUCUCAGCAUUCGGAGAAAAUUAUGGCUUCUGAAUUAACUCAAAAAAGAGUUCCAAAACGAUGCUUGGCUCAGCUGGAUGUUACAGAAAGAGAAAAGGUGAGAUCUGUCUUAAAGGGUCACAGAGCCAAAUACAAAUAGGAGUAAUCAUGAUGGUAGUUGUAAUAAUAAUAAUAAUAUCAAUAGUAUCAAUAAUAUAAUAGUAAUAGAGCCUCCAAAGUUAUUCCUCUCUUUUUCUUGUGACCCAGUGAAAUUCACUUUUCUUUAGAGCAACCUACCCCGUGUUUUAGUUAAGCUAAUCUCCGAGUCAAUUUUCCUUCUCUUGGAGAAAAAAAAAAAUUAACUAGGCUACAGCAGCCAAUGGAAGCUGAAGAUGUUUUGUGACAGGCUGAGUUUUGGAGAAGAAAAUCUGGAAAAAACAAACACUAGAUAAUCUAGACAAAGAUAAUUCGGAGCUGAUGUUCCUUGGUAGAAAAUGCCAUUGACUUUGAUGCUGAUGCUGGAAGCGCGCAAAAUAAACUUUUCCUAACUGUACACCACUGUACUGGGAAUGUUAUCUUUUUGAAGGAAAAAAAAAAAGGCAUCGGAGAGUUAGCAGGAUGAAGACAUGGAAAUACAAUAGGAACAAGCUCCAGAAAGUGACUUCUGUCAACAUUAAAGGACAUUUUUUUUUUUUUUUUCUGUAUACACAGUUUACACUUAGUUUCCUCAUUGAAAAGCUUAAAAAGCUGCCUUGAUUCUCAGAGCUUUGUGCCUAGCAGAGUAUUUGGCUCUUACCACGGAGACAUUGUGUUUCCAGUGAGUUUUGCUUUUCAAAAGGCAGGAAGAGAGGAAACACAGGGUUGCUAGACCGGCAGCAGGAUAACACAGGAACCACCCCAACCUACCUGCCUGCCAAAAGCUUCAGUGCUACAGCUUCUCUGCCAGCCAGGACCAGGUGGGUAGCAGACGCUCUGUUGGAUGCAGUUUAUGUGAGUUCCCCAAAUGAGACCCAAGGCCAAAAUCACCUAAUAGGUUUCAUAUGCCGUGUUCAUUAUUCAUUGAACAAAUAGGUAUCAAGUUCCCACUGUGUACCAAGCCCGGGGCUGGGUGCCGGGGGCCACAGCCUGGGGGAAAACU